AUAGCGUAUAUUAAAGUUGUUGCAGUUAAAAAGCUCGUAGUUGAACCUUGGGCCUGGCUGGCCGGUCCGCCUCACCGCGUGCACUGGUCCGGCCGGGCCUUUCCUUCUGGGGAGCCGCAUGGCCUUCAUUGGUCGUGUCGGGGAACCAGGACUUUUACUUUGAAAAAAUUAGAGUGUUCAAAGCAGGCCUAUGCUCGAAUACAUUAGCAUGGAAUAAUAGAAUAGGACGUGUGGUUCUAUUUUGUUGGGUUCUAGGAUCGACGUAAUGAUUAAUAGGGAUAGUUGGGGGCAUUAGUAUUCAAUUGUCAGAGGUGAAAUUCUUGGAUUUAUUGAAGACUAACUACUG
This 346-nucleotide ribosomal RNA is filed under the name uncultured eukaryote. RNAcentral describes it as "SSU rRNA". It matches the Rfam family "Eukaryotic small subunit ribosomal RNA", at positions 594 to 945 of the family's 1831-position model. The record is from RNAcentral.